RNAcentral lists this unclassified non-coding RNA (322 nucleotides) under rhizosphere metagenome. RNAcentral describes it as "partial ribosomal RNA internal transcribed spacer region". The record is from RNAcentral.
GUAGGUGAACCUGCGGAAGGAUCAUUAACACGUGCAAACGUUUAAUACACUCAACCUGUGAACUGUUCCUCCCUUUCAGUGCCUGUACCGCCUCUGCUGGUCCGUGGUGGGUGGCGCUCCUCUUCGGAGGGGCGCCACGACCAGCGGCGGCUAGGGUCUCGAGCCCGAGGUCUGCGCUGAAAGGCUGACUGCUCCCAUCACGCAUCUCCUAACCAUUGUCACCCACACCCCUUUCUGACUGAGACCCAUCGAACGAGAGAAAUCUUGAGCGAUGACUUAUCUAAACUAAGUACAACUCUUAGCAAUGGAUAUCUUGGUUCUC